AGUGAACGCUGGCGGUAGGCCUAACACAUGCAAGUCGAACGGCAGCACAGUAAGAGCUUGCUCUUACGGGUGGCGAGUGGCGGACGGGUGAGGAAUACAUCGGAAUCUACUUUUUCGUGGGGGAUAACGUAGGGAAACUUACGCUAAUACCGCAUACGACCUACGGGUGAAAGCAGGGGAUCUUCGGACCUUGCGCGAUUGAAUGAGCCGAUGUCGGAUUAGCUAGUUGGCGGGGUAAAGGCCCACCAAGGCGACGAUCCGUAGCUGGUCUGAGAGGUUGAUCAGCCACACUGGAACUGAGACACGGUCCAGACUCCUACGGGAGGCAGCAGUGGGGAAUAUUGGACAAUGGGCGCAAGCCUGAUCCAGCCAUACCGCGUGGGUGAAGAAGGCCUUCGGGUUGUAAAGCCCCUUUGUUGGGAAAGAAAAGCAGCAGGUUAAUACCCCGCUGUUCUGACGGUACCCAAAGAAUAAGCACCGGCUAACUUCGUG
RNAcentral lists this ribosomal RNA (492 nucleotides) under uncultured bacterium. Its description in RNAcentral is "partial 16S ribosomal RNA". It matches the Rfam family "Bacterial small subunit ribosomal RNA", at positions 29 to 507 of the family's 1533-position model. The record is from RNAcentral.